CCCUUAUAUUAAGUCGCAAUAACUGUAUUAGUGGCCCUUAUAUGAAGUCGGUCGAUGAACUCUUUCUUUGUAGCCAGAGGUAUAGAAGUAGUUGUUUUCGUUUCUAUGCUUGUCUAGUAGUUCCUUGGGCCUGCUUGGCUGAGUUGGAGAAAGAAGAAUAGUAUGGAGGUGAGAGUUGAAGCAAAACGGGUAUAUAUGUCCUGAGUAGGAAAUAGAUCAUAAGCCGAGGGUUAAGGUUCAUUAUGGGGUUGUUUCCCUUUGUGCCCGUUGCUUGGCUGUAGCCUGAGUUAGCUGAGCAAGAAGAUGGUUCUCGUUGCCAGAGAUAAGAGGUAUAGUCGUGACUUGGCCUCCGCUUGUGGAAUUACUAGUUUUCUUCCAAUACUAGGGAGUAGUCGCCAGUGAAAGAAGUGAAGUUCAGAAUUGUCCUAAGUAGUCAAAGAAUGGAGCUAAGUAGUUACAGAAUCGACCUAGCAACAACAAGACUCGGACAGUGCCCACUCAGACUAAGACAAGGGAGUGGUAGACUCAACCUCGGGAGUGACAGAAUGCGACUGAUCGGUGCAAGCCUGAUACUAAGGAAAGGCUAUAACCACGGAUGCUAGGACUGAUGCUGCUAAGGGAGAGAAUGAAGCGGACACCGACGGGAAUGGAACGAGUGAGUCACAGCCUUACCAUAGUAUAGAUGGUGUCAGACUGAAAUCAGUAAAUCAAAGAAUCAAACGGGAGACCAUCCAGGAGUGAGUGCUCGCUUUGAAGCUAGGGGAGUUGGAUUAUAAUAAGGGCUUGCUUUGAUGCUAGGCUAGGUGUACUUGCUUUGAUGCUAGGUGUACUAAAGUAAAGUCUCUUUCCGUUCUUGUGUCAGGUGUGGGUGCGGAGGAUAAGAUUAAGAGCUUGUGUUAAGCUAAGUAGUCAAUCUAUCUCUUAUUAGGGGAACUCCUGCCGCUACACGUUAGUAGUUACUUGGCCCACUCCUAAAUCCUUAUAUAUCAUAUUAUAGGAUGACUGCUAACCAGAAUGAACCCAAUGAGGAACAGCCUGAAACAACUACCAACUAAACAAAGACACCUAGAAACAAGGCACCAACAUGUGCUAACGAGGCAACAACCACUGUUAACGAGACUAAUGCUGAUGCUACUUAUUCUUCAACCACUGCCCUCAAGAAUGUAGCUAGUCAAUCUAAGACUAAAACAAGUGCAUCUCAGCCUGACGCGGUGUCUGCUAGGUAUGUCGCUUCAGGGUAGUGGUAAAGUGGAAUAUCAAGUAGGAGUCCUGGUAUUUUGAAUAGCAAAUAGUAGAGGACCGGAAUGACUUGCCUCGUUGCUUGGUCAUUUGUAGAUACUUGUCUGCUGCCCCUGUUCCAGUUCGAAAGUAAGGGUAAGGAAGGCUACUAGGUUAGUUGGUAAAGAGAAAAGAGACAGCUCUGAAGUUCAUGGUUCUAGUCUGAAUCCCGGGUUUGAUGCGGGGAAGUGGGUAGGCUCGGUAAGCAUUUAAGUAAGAAGGAGAGGCCUCGGUGGGAAUGUAGCUAUUGGUUAAGGCUUCAACUUACUGGUGGAAUUCCUUUACUAGGUCGGGUGCUUGUGUUAAGCUAUGAGCAAAAGAUAGAAUUGUGGGGAGAACGCCUGCCGCGUAACGCGAACACAUGACUUGGUCAUAAUUGGUUAUAACAUAUCUAUGCUGCUGCUGCCGCGCAGCUUUCAACUCGCUGCCGCGACACGUUAGUAGUGUCUUGGCGCGCCGUUGCUUGGCCUUGGCCUUGGCCCUUACUAAAUUAUAUAUUAUCUUAUUAAGGAUUGAGUUUCGAAAGAGAUAAGUGCUGUGUUCGGGGCUAGUAAGGGAAAGAAUGGACUAGGGAGUGACAGGCUGAUGCUAAGGAGUCCAAGGCUUUGUGAUACGAGGUCUAGAACCAGUGCACUAACAACUAGGCUUUAAACCGGUACCACCGAGACUGGAGCUAACAUAGAUCAGAAUCAAAUUGCUAACUCACAGACUCAAACCAGUGUAACUCAGAAUCAAACAGGUAACAGUCAGAACGAAACUAAUUGGUGAGCUAGAGAGUUGAGCUAGGCAGACUUAAUCCUGAGCUAGCAAGCCUGAUACCAGUGCACAAUGUAAGCGAGCGGAUUCAUCAACUUCACUCAUAUUCUAUUUUCUUUCUUUAUAAAUAAAUAAUAAUAUCUAUAUAAGCUAUAUAAGGAGAAAACCCAGAAUUUACUGAAUUUAGUAGGGGCCGAUCAAGAAGCAAUUACAAUACAAGGCAGGAAAUAGAAAUCCUAGGAGCGAUAGAGUGGUCAGGAAUCAACUUCACUUCUUUAUUAACCCCGAGCAGCAGAAUAGCCUGUUCGAGUUUCUUUAUCAGCAGAAGAAUGAGCCUAGCCAGACAAUAGGGGUAUUGUAGUCAGAGAGGGUAGAGAAUAGAGUUUACCGGUACCGGGUAGUUAUAGACUUAGCUACAUAGCUUACAAGAAAGUCUUAAUUAUAUUAUAUGACAAAUCUUCCGAUAAGCCAAGUCGAGUCUAUUAUAUAAGCUUAUAAAAGAUGGAAUGAAAGUUAGCCAUAUAACUCUUCCCUCCCUUUCCUCUUAACUGCCAACACCAGACUUUCUCACAGGAACUGGUUCUUCUGUUUCUUCUGUAUUGCUAGCGGAUUAAAGUAAAUAAGUGGACUCAACAAGCCCUCCCUGAACUACUAGUUUAAGCAUACUCUACUCUUGCUACUAAUACAGUUUCAUUCUGUUACUUAUACUUACGGGUUUCAUUCUUACCUCUUUCGGUGACUGGAAGGAUGGGUGCUGGUAUACACUAUAAAUGAAUUCUUUCUCAUCUUUAGAUGUUUUUCUGGGGAUUGUCUAGGAAGAGAGAAAACCCGCUUUCAAUGGAAUUCUUUGAGGCUUAGAAGCGGGGCCAGCUCCUCUCAGCGGGAAAGAAAGAAAGAGCUCUACUAAUUGUCUAGGUUCGUUGCUAGGGAAAGAAAGAAAGUAUAGUGAGCAAGAGUUAUAGGAUCAGAAUUAAGGCAUAUGAGCCAGAGGUCAGAGGUGGAUGAGCCAGAGUGAAAAGAGCCUGUUCGAGUUAAGUGAUAGUCCCCUGGUUGGAAGCUUAAUUGUAAGGCUCGGAGUAGAGGUCAGAAAGAAGGUAAGAGUGAGAAGCACCAGCGAGAGUAUUAUUGGCAUGGGUCAUAUGCUAGUCAAACCUUAGAAGCGGUGUGAGCUCUAGGUGUUCUUGUUUCGGGAAGCAGUGUACUUAAUAAGAAGAAAGAGAAG
Molecule: long non-coding RNA, 3256 nt
Filed under: Musa acuminata (dwarf banana)
Lineage: Eukaryota; Viridiplantae; Streptophyta; Magnoliopsida; Zingiberales; Musaceae
Description: long non-coding RNA (MACU_LNC007416)
Source: RNAcentral